This 253-nucleotide ribosomal RNA is filed under the name uncultured bacterium. Its description in RNAcentral is "partial 16S ribosomal RNA". It matches the Rfam family "Bacterial small subunit ribosomal RNA", at positions 524 to 776 of the family's 1533-position model. The record is from RNAcentral.
UACGGAAGGGGCAAGCGUUGUUCGGAAUCAUUGGGCGUAAAGGGCGCGUAGGUGGUUCUGUAUGUCUACCGUGAAAGCAUACAGCUCAACUGUAUUUUGUCGGUAGAAACUGCAGGACUUGAGGCUGGGAGGGGCUGGUGGAAUUCCCUGUGUAGCGGUGAAAUGCGUAGAGAUGGGGGAGAACACUCGUGGCGAAGGCGGCCAGCUAGACCAGUUCUGACACUGAGGCGCGAAAGCUAGGGGAGCGAACGGG